UGACACACAACAUGCUAUUGUCCCGUAGU
RNAcentral lists this non-coding RNA (29 nucleotides) under Mus musculus (house mouse). Lineage: Eukaryota; Metazoa; Chordata; Mammalia; Rodentia; Muridae. The record is from RNAcentral.